UAGCAUGCGGUCCUUACUUAUUUUUGAUUUCUUGUAUGUUUUAGCUUUAAGUACUUUAUUGUGGCUUUUGCUGAUUUCAUUAUCAAUUUUACUUUCUGAAGUGACAGCACACCCGAGCCCAUGUCUCAGUGUCAAGAGUGAUUUUGCUGGACUUUAAAAGUUGACACUAUGCACUGCACUGUGAGCUCUGACUUGGAAGUUCCGAGUAAAGGUUGUAUCACGAGCUUUCUACAUGCCUGAACUGGAUAGGGGUGGAAUAUCUGCACUCAUGCAGAGGACACGGAAACUCUCAUUCCCCAUGAGACAUUUCAACAGGCCUAUUUGGAGUCCAGUGUUAGCAGUGGAGGAGCGACGUCCCUUCUUUGCCGCAGCUACUUCUACCUCCUUGUAGUGCUUAUGAUGGUAAGACAGUGAACAAUCAUCCUCCUGAUGGGUGUUUCUCAUCCUCAGCCUUAACAGGCGGUAUGGCAGACUGGUGAGUGUUUGUACUGGCUGGACUCCAGUCACCCCUGCACUGGUCACUUUCUUAUGUAGCUCAGGGGUCAACCUGACAGUCUGGGGCACUGUAA
Molecule: long non-coding RNA, 569 nt
Organism: Haliotis rubra (blacklip abalone)
Lineage: Eukaryota; Metazoa; Mollusca; Gastropoda; Lepetellida; Haliotidae
Exons: 3
Source: RefSeq, a predicted model, not a curated record